Molecule: long non-coding RNA, 1999 nt
Organism: Helicoverpa armigera (cotton bollworm)
Lineage: Eukaryota; Metazoa; Arthropoda; Insecta; Lepidoptera; Noctuidae
Exons: 4
Source: RefSeq, a predicted model, not a curated record
AUACUUGACCCUUGUUAUCUUUACGACUAAUUACUCAUUCCUACUAAUCGUAUGUUUCAUUAUAUUAUUUGAUUAAUGUAGCUUACAAAAAAAUAUAAUUGAACAAAAACAUCAAUAAUUUAUGUAUCAUGAACAAGAAUUCUGUUAAUAUUUAUAUAAUGUAUUGUAAGUAAUAAGAAACAGAGAUUCGCAAUUACUAAAUGAUCCAAUUACGGUUAAUGAUUUACAAUGUUACUGGUAGACUACGAGUGUGUUUGUAAUCAAAACAAUAAUAUUUUUAUUACAACUACAUUAUUGUUUGCAGUACAUAUCGUUCGUAGCGUCACUUAAAAAUCGUUUAGUUUGGUUUACCCUUUAUGUAGUGUUAGGCCUUAACAAGACUAUUAUAGUAAAAACCGCACCGGAAACAGUAAACGGUACAAUGCAUGUAUUACUCCGUGCUAUUUGUUAGUGUGUUUUAAAAUAUUAUAAAAUAAUAAUGUUACAAUAACAAUCGAGGUGGUAUUCAUAGCAAAGUAUCUUGUACUGUUUAUCGAAAACUGUGUUUUUGUAAACAAACUCGCGCGCUCGCAUCCCGCCCCGCCACCGCCACCCGCACCCGAGCCGGCGUCCGGCUUGGCGGCCAUUGUGUUUUUGACCAGCGAGCGAGCGCAGUAUUGCAGAUUGAAUUUGAAGUGUUUUUCGCCUUUUUGGGUUAUUAUUACAAAACCAGUGACGAGAUGGAUGAUGACAUUGACCAAGACGUCCCUCAGUUAUUAAAGCAGGGGUUUACCCCAAUAUAUUCAUACUUUUCAAGGACACCCAGAGUCAGCUCAGCUUCAAAACAUGCGAAAAGGAUAACUAGUCAAUAGGCUUGUUUUAUACAAUCUAGGUUCCCAAGCCAAGUAUUCGAUUCCCCUAGACCAGAAAAUUAUGCCUUAGGCGUUGGGACUUUCUUGUCCGUUGAAAAAUCUACUCUUAAAAUCGAAUGAAGGACAAGGCCUGCUAAAUUUAUAUUCAGAACAAGGCAAAUUAUCAAAUAAUGGGCGAAGAAAAGUUUGCAAUAUAAUAAUAAAAGACCUAAUGCAAUCAGACCCAAAUAAAAGAAUAGACAGUUCUCUACUUCUUACAAAAGCACAAGAAAUAACUGAAGUAUUCAAAAAGGAAAAUAUAAGUACUUACUUUAUUCCAUACAUUAAUGAUACUAAACUUAAAAUAAAAAGAUGUGCAAAAGGCAAAUUAUAUGACUGUCUACAAAACAGGCGCCGCGAAUUAAGGGAGGCUAAGGUUAUUAAAAAGAAAAAUGGCAGCAACAUCAACAAUAACAGCAACGAGCCAGAAGUCGUCGAAGAAGAUGGUGGUGCAGAUGAAGAUAUCCAGUGGCUCCAAAACUGUACAGAACCCUGGCAUUUAGUGAUAGAGAAGUGGCAAAAAACUUCCAAAAAUAGAUUGAAGGAAAUAGAGACUUCAGAAAUGACCAUCGGAGCAUACAUUAAUAAAUAUCCAGUGUUAAAACGCCACGCGGGCAUGAGCUUCUUAUUGAAGAUUUAAGAAGGGCCCUAUUAGAGCCUGUUCACACUAGCAUUAAUAUCGCCGCGAGCACGCGGCGAGCAAGCUGCGAUAUCACACACAUAUAAAGUUUGCUCGCGGCGAUAUUAUUGCGAUAAAAUAAUCGCCGCGAUACCGCGACGACCCGCGGCGAGCUCGUUGCGUGCACGCCGCGAUCUCGCAUCGCCGAAAAGAAUCGCUAGUGUGAACAGGCUCUAAUAGGGCCCCAUACUUUACAAGUUGAAUGUAGAAAUGAUAAGUAUAAGGGACGUCGACGCUGAAAAGACGCCUGAACGGGUAGCAUGAUCGCGCGAAAAGUGAUAAAACAUCUCCCUAUCGCACUAUUAGUAAGUGCGAUAGGGACGGAUGUUUUAUCGCGCGAUCAUGCUACCAAUGCAGAUGUGAGGGGCCGUAAUGUGUAAGUGUAAUUUCUACGGACCAAUGAUUGUGAUGAUUAUAUUAAAAUAAAUGU